Numida meleagris (helmeted guineafowl) is the source of this 487-nucleotide non-coding RNA. The record is from the annotation of a RefSeq genome assembly. NCBI's taxonomy places the organism in Eukaryota, Metazoa, Chordata, Aves, Galliformes, Numididae.
GAGCUGGCAGCGGCUGCGGGGAGGAGGUGCUGCGAGCAGGGCAGAGCCGGGGCUGACGGGGGCAGCGCGGCGCGGGCGGCGGAGCGGCGGGAUGCGGCAGUGCCGGGCCGCGGGGCUGGCGGGGCUGGCCGCGGUGCUCGUGGUGGCUGUGAGCAGAGCCCAGGUGCAGCAGGAGCCAUCGGCAGAGACCAGCGAGGGCACUGACGUCAACAUCACCUGCUCACACCUCAACAUACAGGCUGGAGAUUACAUCCAUUGGUACCGACAGCUCCCAGGCCGAGGCCCCGCAUUCCUUGUCACUACUUUUAAAGGCUCCAAGGAGGUGGUGGACCCGGCGGGGCGGCUGUGGGUGUCGGCAGACCGCCGCUCCAGCGCCCUGUGUCUCGAUCGGCCCCAGUUCAGGGACGCGGCGGUGUAUUACUGCGCCGUGAACCCACGCAGGGGGGAGCUGGGGCUGCGGCCGGGCACGAACCGCAGUGGGCGGACG